AACGAACGCUGGCGGCGUGCCUAACACAUGCAAGUCGUGCGAGAAAGUUCCUUCGGGAGCGAGUAAAGCGGCGCACGGGUGAGUAACACGUAGGAAUCUGCCCUGGGGUGGGGGAUAACUAGUCGAAAGAUUAGCUAAUACCGCAUAUGCCGUGAGGUAAAAGGAGUAAUCCGCCCGAGGAUGAGCCUGCGUCCGAUUAGCUAGUUGGUAGGGUAAAAGCCUACCAAGGCUACGAUCGGUAGCUGGUCUGAGAGGAUGAUCAGCCACAAUGGGACUGAGACACGGCCCAUACUCCUACGGGAGGCAGCAGUGGGGAAUUUUACGCAAUGGGGGAAACCCUGACGUAGCGACACCGCGUGAGCGAAGAAGCCCUUUGGGGUGUAAAGCUCUGUCAGCAGGAACGAAUAAAUGACGGUACCUGCAGAGGAAGCAUCGGCUAACUACGUGCCAGCAGCCGCGGUAAU
This 464-nucleotide ribosomal RNA is filed under the name uncultured bacterium. Its description in RNAcentral is "bacterial SSU rRNA". It matches the Rfam family "Bacterial small subunit ribosomal RNA", at positions 29 to 524 of the family's 1533-position model. The record is from RNAcentral.